AACUCACCAGGUCAGGACACGGUAAGGAUUGACGGACUGAAGGCUCUUUCUCGAUUCCGUGGAAAGUGGUGCAUGGCCGUUUUUGGUUGGUGGAUCGAUCCGUCUGGUUAAUUCCGUUAACGAACGAGACCUUCGGCACUCCGAAUAGCGCGGCGGACGUCGCGGCCUCCGGGCCGUCUUCCGCACGAGCUUCUUAGAGGGACCGUCCCCCGCCGGGGAAGGAGGUGCGAGGCAACGACAGGUCUGUGAUGCCCUUAGAUGUUCUGGGCCGCACGCGCAUUACACUGACGCGUCCAACGGGUGACUCCCGACCCGAAGGGGCCGGGGAAUCCGCAAGGCGCGUCGUGAUGGGGAUUGAACGUUGCAAUUGUUGUUCACGAACGAGGAAUUCCUAGUAGGCGCGGGUCAUCAACCCGCGCCGAUUACGUCCCUGCCC
This 436-nucleotide ribosomal RNA is filed under the name uncultured eukaryote. RNAcentral describes it as "bacterial SSU rRNA". It matches the Rfam family "Eukaryotic small subunit ribosomal RNA", at positions 1212 to 1658 of the family's 1831-position model. The record is from RNAcentral.